UACGAGCGGGUAGCUCCCCACCCAUUGGACUGGGUAGUGAGUCGGGUGAAGAGCGGGGUAGCUCUUCACCUGUGAGAUUUGAGCGGGGUAGCUCUUUACCUAUGAGCGGGGUAGCUCCUUACCUAUGAGCGGGGUAGCUCUUUACCUACGAGCGGGGUAGCUCUUGACCUAUGAGUUUGAGUUAGAGUCGGGGCGAAGAGCGGGGUAGCUCUUGCCCUUA
Molecule: long non-coding RNA, 220 nt
Filed under: Ananas comosus (pineapple)
Lineage: Eukaryota; Viridiplantae; Streptophyta; Magnoliopsida; Poales; Bromeliaceae
Description: long non-coding RNA (ACOM_LNC030500)
Source: RNAcentral